Molecule: non-coding RNA, 45 nt
Filed under: Schistosoma bovis
Lineage: Eukaryota; Metazoa; Platyhelminthes; Trematoda; Strigeidida; Schistosomatidae
Also listed under: 1 other name
Source: RNAcentral
ACCUAGCUGAUGAGUCCCAAAUAGGACGCUGCGUGCGUCCUGUAU